AUUGAUUGUUAAUUAUAACAUACUCCUUGUUAUCAAAAAAUGAAAAUCAAGUCUUUAAUCUUCGUGUUUUUUUCUUGUGCGAUGUUUAUUAUAUUUAUUGUACCAAUUGAGUCAUUCAAAGAUGAGAAACAAGUCGAGGCAGCAAAAGAAUUCCAAAGUGAAAUUCUGUACAAUUAUAACAAACCCUGGACCUUUACGCGUAGCUAUCCAAAAACAUCUAAGGUUGGUAACGGAGUAAAAAAUGGUGAAGUUCGCUCUGAUGGAACAAGUUCAAUAGAAAAGGGUGGUGAAGGAGGUGUACAAGGCGAAGAUGAACAAAGUAAAGUUGUAAAAGACUAAGGAAUGGAAUCAAGAACAUGAUGUUGAAAUCGACAGGAUAGGGGUCAUAUCCAUAAAAAUGUUGACUUUAUUUUACACCAUGUUUGAUUUAUAAUAAGAUGGAACUUUUUCCUGAUUAAAUAUUAUUUUCACUUACAACCUUUUGA
This is a long non-coding RNA of Vicia villosa (hairy vetch), 485 nucleotides long. RefSeq lists it as uncharacterized. Lineage: Eukaryota; Viridiplantae; Streptophyta; Magnoliopsida; Fabales; Fabaceae. The record is from RefSeq and is a predicted model, not a curated record. The transcript is spliced from 2 exons.